RNAcentral lists this ribosomal RNA (253 nucleotides) under uncultured bacterium. Its description in RNAcentral is "partial 16S ribosomal RNA". It matches the Rfam family "Bacterial small subunit ribosomal RNA", at positions 524 to 776 of the family's 1533-position model. The record is from RNAcentral.
UACAGAGGGUGCGAGCGUUAAUCGGAAUUACUGGGCGUAAAGCGUGCGCAGGCGGUUUUGUAAGCCAGAUGUGAAAUCCCCGGGCUUAACCUGGGAAUGGCAUUUGGGACUGCAAGGCUAGAGUACGGCAGAGGAGACUAGAAUUCCUGGUGUAGCAGUGAAAUGCGUAGAUAUCAGGAGGAAUACCGAUGGCGAAGGCAGGUCUCUGGGUCGAUACUGACGCUCAUGCACGAAAGCGUGGGGAGCAAACAGG